Molecule: long non-coding RNA, 2113 nt
Organism: Rana temporaria (common frog)
Lineage: Eukaryota; Metazoa; Chordata; Amphibia; Anura; Ranidae
Exons: 2
Source: RefSeq, a predicted model, not a curated record
AAAAAAUCUACCCGAAUCCCCUUGACAAAAUGAGCCUCAAUCUAAUGUUAAAAAUUAACAUUUCCGGGUGAACCUCAACUUUAAGAGUUUUAGGAACUCUUCUGCUUCGACAUUAAAUAAAAAAUUAGAGGUUUUGAGGAACCACACAACCGUGACUCAUUAUGACCAGCUAUAAUUGGCCUUUUUUUUUAAUGAUUUUAAUCAAGAAAUCAAGAAAAUAAAUAUGUCAUUAUUUUUAAAUACAAAAUAUUUUAUUUUCUCUAAUAAAUAAUGAAUUAGAAAAGCACUAAAGUACUAAAGAGCUUAGGAACUCUUCUGCUUCGACAUUAAAAUAAAAAUGAAAGGUUUUGAGGAACCACACAACCGUGACUCAUUAUGACCAGAUACAAAUUUUUAAAACUUUUUUUAAAAAUGAUUUUAGUUUACAGAAAUAUAUGAUUAUUUAAAAAAAAUAUAUAUUUGAUUUGCUCUAAUAAAUAAUGAAUUAGAAAAGCACUAAAGUUCUAAAGAUUUUAGUAACAUUUCUGCUUCAACAUUAAAAUAAAAAAGAAAGUUUUGAGAAACCAAACAAUCAUGUAAAUGUCAAUUAAAAAAAAAAAAAAAUGUUUUAAAAAUAAUUUUAAUUUACGGAAACAAGUCAUUAUUUUUAAAUAGAAAAUAUCAGAUCAACUCAGAUUUAAAUAAUUAUUAAACCAAGUUUUAGGACUUAAUAAAAGAUGUCAUUUAAAAAACACUUCAAGCACAUAUUGUUUAAAAAAAAGAUUAUUUUUAAAACCACAAGUACAUUUUUAGAAUAAUUAACAAUGAUGUGUUUGGUUUGUGUGUAUAUAUAUAUAUAUAUAUACUCUACAAAAGGCAGUGCCUCUGACUUCUUUUAAAAGUAAGUGACUUUGUUAUAUUUGCUGCUGCAGAUUUGCUGUAUAUAAAGCUACAGAUACAACUUUUUAAUUUUUCUCCCUUCUCACACGGUGGGCGCCUUUUUACUUUAUCCAAAACCUGACUUCUAGAACUUGUAAAAAAUAACCAGCAUGUCAACACACUUCUUCUUCUUCUUUUUUUUUUAUUUAAAUCCCUGCAAAGGGCCUUGUUUCUAAGUCCUACUACUAAAUGAUAAUUAAAAAAAAAAUUCAAAUAAAAAAAAUUGUAAAAGAAACAAACAAACCACAAAGGCCCAUAUCUUUUAGCAUUUCGGUAAAUUGCUAUAUACAAUUUAUUAUUACAUUUUGGAUCAAGAUUCCUUAGCCAGCUGCUUUUUUUGUAAUGUAAAAAAAAAAGUAUGACAAUAAGUUUUAUAUUGUGAUUCUUUCUUAAGAAAAAUGAAAAAAAAAACUGAUACAUCGGGAUUUUUCAUAUUUUCCCCAACCUAAUGAAAAAAAAAAAAAAAAGAAAGUGAAACUGUUUUCUGCUAAAUAAAAGAUUUGUUCCCCUAAAAAAAAAAAUGUUUUAUAUUUUGUUUGAGAUAACUGCUGGCUUAUUGUAAUGGAUGAAAUAAUUUAUUGUAAAAAACAAAAAAAGCUAACUGAUCUUGCUUUUAAUUUCUUAAGGAAAACUGCAUAGCAAAAAAAUAAAAAUAAAAUUCAGUUUUUGCUUCUAUUUUCUCUACUUAGACUUUGUAGGAGUUAAGGAAAGAAUGUACUGUAAGAUGGAAUUUAAAAUUGAAUACUUUCCAACGAGCUGUUUGGCGAUUUAACGAAUCCUUUUUUUUUAAGGUUUGCUCUGGAGAAUAAAAUACAAAAAUAUAUUUUAAGGAACAGUCACUUCUUUAGAAAAUUAAAAACAAAACAAAAAAAAAAACAAAAAACACAAAAAAUAAAAAAUGUAACAAUGCAUUAAACAAAAGAGACGAGAAUGUAAGGUGCCCUAUGAUAAUCAUCUGAAUUCAGAUGCCUGUGGCGUGUCGCUAAAGAAAAAAAACUUUAAUUUAGUUUGGUGACCCCUUUUUUCCCAGCCGGGCGGACCUGCGUCAAAUUUGGAGAUGUAUAAGACGCGGGUUCUCCUGGCGGGGGAAGUGGGGCAUGGGGCUGCAAAAAUACUGCUUUGUGCUGUUAUAAUAUUGGCUUGUUCAAUGUUUAAUUAUUCUGUUAUUGUAAAUAAAGUCAUUUAAAAUUCUGAA